RNAcentral lists this long non-coding RNA (1506 nucleotides) under Homo sapiens (human). Its description in RNAcentral is "HSALNT0067563". The record is from RNAcentral. Lineage: Eukaryota; Metazoa; Chordata; Mammalia; Primates; Hominidae.
CCCUGCACAGUGAGGUCGUGGCGCCCGGCACCUGCCACCUGUGACUGGGAUGAAGGGCUCGAUCAGAACCUGUCUGCCGGUUUCCCCGUGCGACGAUUAACCACCACCCCCUCCAUAACCCGUGUGUUUUCCAGGUCAGCCUGGACUUACAAAUCCAAGCCAGAUGGGGUCUCCUCAGAGGGGCAGUGACCUGGGGGAUGCCAACAGUGACAGCUACCACCAGCAGGUACUUCACACACGUCCCGUACUGCGCCAAGACCAUCACAUGUAAUCUUUACUGUACCCUACGAGAGACACUUUUAUUAUUCCUACUUUUCAGAUGGAGAAACUGAGUCCCAGAGGGGUUAAAUGACCUCAGCAAGGCCAUCUAGCUAAUGAGAGGUGAAUCUAGGAUUCCAGAGCUCUUGCUCUUAAAUGCUACGCUGAAUGAGAGGAUGCGCUGGAAGAUUUUUGACCAAUUGUGUGAACAGUAAGAAGCACAACUGUGGCCUUUGUGGCUUCCUUUUUAGAGAUGGAAUUUCGCUGUGUUGCCCAGGCUGGCAGCAUAUUGGCCCUCCCCACCUCAGCCUCCUGAGUAGCUGGGACUGGGUGCAUGCCAUUACACCCAUCUAGCACAGCUGUGUUUUGUGCUCUUGGCUGAGAGGUUCUUAGGACCCACUAGCCCUAUUGUCUCUUCGUUCCUCUCCCCAAUCCGCCUUCGUCAUGUGAGCCUUUGCAGCAGCCACCUGAUCUCAGAGUUCUCUUCUUCCCUCUCUUCAGACAUUUUGCAGACAUCCUCCUCCCCUCCUCUAACACAGAGACAACCUGUCUGGUAAAGCCUCUCAAACCCAGCCAGAAUCAUCUGGAAGAGUUUAGCGGGCUGGCAGCAAGGCCAGUCUGAAAUGGACUUAGCUAGAUUCCGCCCGAGGCCCUCCCAUUAGCUGCGCAAUGCAGCCUCUGCCCAAAGUGCAAAGCAGAAUGCUGCUGGAGCUGCUCAUGAAACCACCUUACUGUGGCCACCAGAUUGUCCCCAUUUGCUUUGGAAAGCAAUGCCAUUGUGAAAUAUGGCAUCUCCUGUAGUUCUGCAUCGGAAGCAGAGAGGGCAUACACGGACUCCCUCCCCAUUCCAGCAGGCAUGUUCUCAACACCCCUGCACCUGGGCCUCUGGCCAGGGGCCUCCAUAGCCGCCUUCAGGAGUGAGUGCACUGCGGUCUGAGCACCUGGAUGUAGCCCUCCACCCUUACCCUGUGCCUCCCUAAAGCCUCGUGUGUCAAAUGAAGUCAUCAUUAUCCCUACCUCGUGAGAUGUCACAAGAAUAAAUAAUUUAAUAUAUGCAAGGUGCUUGGCACCGAGUGUUAUAAAACUUGAUGAUGAUGAUAGUUUGCUAUCAUCAUCAUCAUCAUCACCAUCAUCACUACCACCAUUCAGUACAUAGUUUCCCACCUUUGCACUUUUAAAAAAGGAAAACCCAUUGCCAUAUGUAAUAUGAUUUCUUUACCACUUUGUUGAAACCAACUUUAAAUAAAC